UACGUAGGGGGCUAGCGUUGUCCGGAAUCAUUGGGCGUAAAGCGCGUGUAGGCGGUCCGGUAAGUCCGCUGUGAAAGUCGGGGGCUCAACCCUCGGAUGCCGGUGGAUACUGUCGGGCUUGAGUACGGAAGAGGCGAGCGGAAUUCCUGGUGUAGCGGUGAAAUGCGCAGAUAUCAAGAGGAACACCAAUUGCGAAGGCAGCUCGCUGGGACGUUACUGACGCUGAGACGCGAAAGCGUGGGGAGCAAACAGG
Molecule: ribosomal RNA, 253 nt
Filed under: uncultured bacterium
Lineage: Bacteria
Description: partial 16S ribosomal RNA
Rfam family: Bacterial small subunit ribosomal RNA
Source: RNAcentral